Molecule: ribosomal RNA, 2904 nt
Filed under: Escherichia coli
Lineage: Bacteria; Pseudomonadati; Pseudomonadota; Gammaproteobacteria; Enterobacterales; Enterobacteriaceae
Description: 23S ribosomal RNA
Rfam family: Bacterial large subunit ribosomal RNA
Source: RNAcentral
GGUUAAGCGACUAAGCGUACACGGUGGAUGCCCUGGCAGUCAGAGGCGAUGAAGGACGUGCUAAUCUGCGAUAAGCGUCGGUAAGGUGAUAUGAACCGUUAUAACCGGCGAUUUCCGAAUGGGGAAACCCAGUGUGAUUCGUCACACUAUCAUUAACUGAAUCCAUAGGUUAAUGAGGCGAACCGGGGGAACUGAAACAUCUAAGUACCCCGAGGAAAAGAAAUCAACCGAGAUUCCCCCAGUAGCGGCGAGCGAACGGGGAGCAGCCCAGAGCCUGAAUCAGUGUGUGUGUUAGUGGAAGCGUCUGGAAAGGCGCGCGAUACAGGGUGACAGCCCCGUACACAAAAAUGCACAUGCUGUGAGCUCGAUGAGUAGGGCGGGACACGUGGUAUCCUGUCUGAAUAUGGGGGGACCAUCCUCCAAGGCUAAAUACUCCUGACUGACCGAUAGUGAACCAGUACCGUGAGGGAAAGGCGAAAAGAACCCCGGCGAGGGGAGUGAAAAAGAACCUGAAACCGUGUACGUACAAGCAGUGGGAGCACGCUUAGGCGUGUGACUGCGUACCUUUUGUAUAAUGGGUCAGCGACUUAUAUUCUGUAGCAAGGUUAACCGAAUAGGGGAGCCGAAGGGAAACCGAGUCUUAACUGGGCGUUAAGUUGCAGGGUAUAGACCCGAAACCCGGUGAUCUAGCCAUGGGCAGGUUGAAGGUUGGGUAACACUAACUGGAGGACCGAACCGACUAAUGUUGAAAAAUUAGCGGAUGACUUGUGGCUGGGGGUGAAAGGCCAAUCAAACCGGGAGAUAGCUGGUUCUCCCCGAAAGCUAUUUAGGUAGCGCCUCGUGAAUUCAUCUCCGGGGGUAGAGCACUGUUUCGGCAAGGGGGUCAUCCCGACUUACCAACCCGAUGCAAACUACGAAUACCGGAGAAUGUUAUCACGGGAGACACACGGCGGGUGCUAACGUCCGUCGUGAAGAGGGAAACAACCCAGACCGCCAGCUAAGGUCCCAAAGUCAUGGUUAAGUGGGAAACGAUGUGGGAAGGCCCAGACAGCCAGGAUGUUGGCUUAGAAGCAGCCAUCAUUUAAAGAAAGCGUAAUAGCUCACUGGUCGAGUCGGCCUGCGCGGAAGAUGUAACGGGGCUAAACCAUGCACCGAAGCUGCGGCAGCGACGCUGAUGCGUUGUUGGGUAGGGGAGCGUUCUGUAAGCCUGCGAAGGUGUGCUGUGAGGCAUGCUGGAGGUAUCAGAAGUGCGAAUGCUGACAUAAGUAACGAUAAAGCGGGUGAAAAGCCCGCUCGCCGGAAGACCAAGGGUUCCUGUCCAACGUUAAUCGGGGCAGGGUGAGUCGACCCCUAAGGCGAGGCCGAAAGGCGUAGUCGAUGGGAAACAGGUUAAUAUUCCUGUACUUGGUGUUACUGCGAAGGGGGGACGGAGAAGGCUAUGUUGGCCGGGCGACGGUUGUCCCGGUUUAAGCGUGUAGGCUGGUUUUCCAGGCAAAUCCGGAAAAUCAAGGCUGAGGCGUGAUGACGAGGCACUACGGUGCUGAAGCAACAAAUGCCCUGCUUCCAGGAAAAGCCUCUAAGCAUCAGGUAACAUCAAAUCGUACCCCAAACCGACACAGGUGGUCAGGUAGAGAAUACCAAGGCGCUUGAGAGAACUCGGGUGAAGGAACUAGGCAAAAUGGUGCCGUAACUUCGGGAGAAGGCACGCUGAUAUGUAGGUGAAGUCCCUCGCGGAUGGAGCUGAAAUCAGUCGAAGAUACCAGCUGGCUGCAACUGUUUAUUAAAAACACAGCACUGUGCAAACACGAAAGUGGACGUAUACGGUGUGACGCCUGCCCGGUGCCGGAAGGUUAAUUGAUGGGGUUAGCGCAAGCGAAGCUCUUGAUCGAAGCCCCGGUAAACGGCGGCCGUAACUAUAACGGUCCUAAGGUAGCGAAAUUCCUUGUCGGGUAAGUUCCGACCUGCACGAAUGGCGUAAUGAUGGCCAGGCUGUCUCCACCCGAGACUCAGUGAAAUUGAACUCGCUGUGAAGAUGCAGUGUACCCGCGGCAAGACGGAAAGACCCCGUGAACCUUUACUAUAGCUUGACACUGAACAUUGAGCCUUGAUGUGUAGGAUAGGUGGGAGGCUUUGAAGUGUGGACGCCAGUCUGCAUGGAGCCGACCUUGAAAUACCACCCUUUAAUGUUUGAUGUUCUAACGUUGACCCGUAAUCCGGGUUGCGGACAGUGUCUGGUGGGUAGUUUGACUGGGGCGGUCUCCUCCUAAAGAGUAACGGAGGAGCACGAAGGUUGGCUAAUCCUGGUCGGACAUCAGGAGGUUAGUGCAAUGGCAUAAGCCAGCUUGACUGCGAGCGUGACGGCGCGAGCAGGUGCGAAAGCAGGUCAUAGUGAUCCGGUGGUUCUGAAUGGAAGGGCCAUCGCUCAACGGAUAAAAGGUACUCCGGGGAUAACAGGCUGAUACCGCCCAAGAGUUCAUAUCGACGGCGGUGUUUGGCACCUCGAUGUCGGCUCAUCACAUCCUGGGGCUGAAGUAGGUCCCAAGGGUAUGGCUGUUCGCCAUUUAAAGUGGUACGCGAGCUGGGUUUAGAACGUCGUGAGACAGUUCGGUCCCUAUCUGCCGUGGGCGCUGGAGAAUUGAGGGGGGCUGCUCCUAGUACGAGAGGACCGGAGUGGACGCAUCACUGGUGUUCGGGUUGUCAUGCCAAUGGCACUGCCCGGUAGCUAAAUGCGGAAGAGAUAAGUGCUGAAAGCAUCUAAGCACGAAACUUGCCCCGAGAUGAGUUCUCCCUGACUCCUUGAGAGUCCUGAAGGAACGUUGAAGACGACGACGUUGAUAGGCCGGGUGUGUAAGCGCAGCGAUGCGUUGAGCUAACCGGUACUAAUGAACCGUGAGGCUUAACCUU